This 132-nucleotide small RNA is filed under the name Ictidomys tridecemlineatus (thirteen-lined ground squirrel). RNAcentral's name for it is "SMAD5 antisense RNA 1 conserved region 2 (ENSSTOG00000030355.1)". The record is from RNAcentral. Lineage: Eukaryota; Metazoa; Chordata; Mammalia; Rodentia; Sciuridae.
CCACCUCCUCCUCCUGCUCCUCCCCCCACCCCCACCCCCUUCUCAGCUGCGGCUAAAACCUGGAGUCUUGGGGAAAAAGGAAAAAAAAAAAAAAACUCAGCUGUGGAGCUGUCAAACCGGGCAUGCUCAGUA